RNAcentral lists this ribosomal RNA (497 nucleotides) under uncultured bacterium. RNAcentral's name for it is "partial 16S ribosomal RNA". It matches the Rfam family "Bacterial small subunit ribosomal RNA", at positions 28 to 507 of the family's 1533-position model. The record is from RNAcentral.
GAUGAACGCUGGCGGCGUGCCUAAUACAUGCAAGUCGAGCGAACGGACGAGAAGCUUGCUUCUCUGAUGUUAGCGGCGGACGGGUGAGUAACACGUGGAUAACCUACCUAUAAGACUGGGAUAACUUCGGGAAACCGGAGCUAAUACCGGAUAAUAUUUUGGACCGCAUGGUUCAAAAGUGAAAGACGGUCUUGCUGUCACUUAUAGAUGGUUCCGUGCUGCAUUAGCUAGUUGGUAAGGUAACGGCUUACCAAGGCAACGAUGCAUAGUCGACCUGAGAGGGUGAUCGGCCACACUGGAACUGAGACACGGUCCAGACUCCUACGGGAGGCAGCAGUAGGGAAGCUUCCGCAAUGGGCGAAAGCCUGACGGAGCAACGCCGCGUGAGUGAUGAAGGUCUUCGGAUCGUAAAACUCUGUUAUUAGGGAAGAACAUAUGUGUAAGUAACUGUGCACAUCUUGACGGUAGCUAAUCAGAAAGCCACGGCUAACUACGUG